This 1486-nucleotide ribosomal RNA is filed under the name uncultured bacterium. RNAcentral describes it as "16S ribosomal RNA". It matches the Rfam family "Bacterial small subunit ribosomal RNA". The record is from RNAcentral.
GAGUUUGAUCAUGGCUCAGGAUGAACGCUGGCGGCGUGCCUAACACAUGCAAGUCGAGCGUGAACCUUUCAAAUGAAACUUCGGUCGAAUGAGGAAGGGGAAAGCGGCGGACGGGUGAGUAACGCGUAGGCAACCUGCCCUGUACAGAGGGAUAGCCUCGGGAAACCGGGAUUAAGACCUCAUAAAACCAGAACCUCUCCUGAGGAACUGGUCAAAGAUUAUAUCGGUAUGGGAUGGGCCUGCGUCUGAUUAGCUGGUUGGUGGGGUAACGGCUCACCAAGGCAACGAUCAGUAGCCGACCUGAGAGGGUGAUCGGCCACAUUGGAACUGAGACACGGUCCAAACUCCUACGGGAGGCAGCAGUGGGGGAUAUUGCACAAUGGGCGAAAGCCUGAUGCAGCAACGCCGCGUGAGCGAGGAAGGCCUUUGGGUCGUAAAGCUCUGUCGGGAAGGAAGAUAAUGACGGUACUUCCCGAGGAAGCCCCGGCUAACUACGUGCCAGCAGCCGCGGUAAUACGUAGGGGGCGAGCGUUAUCCGGAAUUAUUGGGCGUAAAGAGUGCGUAGGCGGUUUCUUAAGCGUGGGGUGAAGGCCAUUGGCUUAACCAAUGUAAGCCCCGCGAACUGGGGAGCUUGAGUGCAGGAAAGGAAAGCGGAAUUCCUUAGUUAGCGGUGAAAAUGUUUGAUUAUUGGGAGGAACACCAGUGGGCGAAGGCGGGCUUUUCUGGACUGUAACUUGACCCUGAGGCAUGAAAGGGUUGGGAGCCAAACAGGGAUUUGGUACCCUUGGUAGUCCACGCCGUAAACGAUGAGCAGUAGGUGUCGGGGUUGUAAGACUUCGGUGCCGCAGUUAAGGCAUUAAGUGCUCCGCCUGGGGAGUACGUGCGCAAGCAUGAAACUCAAAGGAAUUGACGGGGACCCGCACAAGCAGCGGAGCAUGUGGUUUAAUUCGAAGCAACGCGAAGAACCUUACCAGGGCUUGACAUCCCUUUGACCGGCCGGUAACGCGGCCUUCCCUUCGGGGCAGAGGAGACAGGUGGUGCAUGGUUGUCGUCAGCUCGUGUCGUGAGAUGUUGGGUUAAGUCCCGCAACGAGCGCAACCCUUGUCAUUAGUUGCCAUCAGGUUAAGCUGGGCACUCUAGUGAGACCGCCGGGGAUAACUCGGAGGAAGGUGGGGACGACGUCAAAUCAUCAUGCCCCUUAUGUUCUGGGCUACACACGUGCUACAAUGGCCGGUACAGAGAGACGCAAAGUCGCGAGGCGGAGCAAAACUCUAAAACCGGUCCCAGUUCGGAUUGCAGGCUGAAACCCGCCUGCAUGAAGUCGGAGUUGCUAGUAAUCGCGAAUCAGAAUGUCGCGGUGAAUGCGUUCCCGGGUCUUGUACACACCGCCCGUCACACCACGGAAGUUGGGGGCGCCCGAAGUCGGUCAGUAAAUAGGCUGCCUAAGGCGAAAUCAAUGACUGGGGUGAAGUCGUAACAAGGUAAC